Cornus florida is the source of this 2602-nucleotide long non-coding RNA. RefSeq lists it as uncharacterized. The record is from RefSeq and is a predicted model, not a curated record. Lineage: Eukaryota; Viridiplantae; Streptophyta; Magnoliopsida; Cornales; Cornaceae. The transcript has 2 exons.
UCACGAUCAAAGCAAAAUGAGAUAGGCUUAAAUAAUGAUCCUUGAUGUAAGCAAUUUAUUAUUAUUAUUAGAAAUUCUCUCCUUUCUCUUCUCUCCAUUAUUUGAUUUCUUACUACUUAUCCUUCAUCGUCGUCAAUAUUUUGAAGUGAUAGAUGUUGCUUUUAAAAUUCUAUUUAGUGUUUUUCUUAGCCAAUACAUGUAAUAUGGUGUGAUUUUGUCUUCUCUAAAUUUUCAUCUAUAGAGUUAGCUUCCUUGGUUUGUCUUUCUAGUAUAACCAACUAUGCCAUUGUUUCAUGUCUAUAGUCUUUGCUUUAUGAUUUUAUCAGUUUCACUCCUAUGCUACAGUUUUAUAGAGUGACUAAUGACUAAUGAGUUCGUACUACUAUAAUUGGUGUAGGCCUGAAUAUAGGACCAGUCAUCUCAUUUAGUUUAUACCUUACUUCUCCAAAUUUUUCAUUGUUUGCAAUUCAUUUUAGACAAGUUAGCCAGCAAUAAGAUUCCAAGUUUCCAUGAGAUUGGUUCUAGCAUCCUCUCUCUCUCUCUCUCUCUACACCCACACACGUGCAAAUAUAUGUUCUAAGCAUCUUUUAACGUCAGUAGUUCUCUUCUUUUUCAAUUUUCUUUUUAAAUAAAAUCAUAGAUAAUUUCUUCCCCCGGUAGAUUUAGUAGGCAUUUUGUGCAUUUUAUCAAAUCAAAAAUCUUCUGGUGUUAGUUCAGGACUAUUUAUAUGAAUUCCACACUCAUGCACAUAGAGGUUGCAUGGUAAUUAGGUUUCUUUAUGCUAUGUUUGGUUGGAAGGAAGGAUUGAGAAAGGGUGGAAGAGAGAAGGGAUAGAAGACGCUUCCCUUGUUUUGUUGGAAGGAAGGAAAGAGAGGGAGGAAGCAAGUAGGUAUGAUGCAUCCUCCAAGCCCAUAUAUUUUUAUCCGUCCGAAAUUGGGCGGAAGAGAGGAGGGAAAGAAAGAAAACCACCUUACAAAUAUGUAAUACCAAUUUUAACCUUCAAUUAUUCACAAAAUCACCUGUUAAACCCUACUGAAAAUUAGAAUGAAUAUUAUAAGUUUACAUAUUGAGGUGAUAUUGGUAAAAAAAAAAAAAUGAAAACUCUCCUUUCCUUCCUUCUAACCAAAAAAGAAAAGAAAAAAAGUGAAAGAAGAAGGUGUCACCCCAUCAAUCCUUUCUACUAUCCCUUCCAUUCAACCAAAUAAAAAGUGAGAGAGAGACCUUCCCUUCCCUAGGGAUGCCUCAUCCAUCCCUCCCUCUGUUCCUUCCAUCCAUUUUCCCAUCCCUCCAACCAAAUGGAGCAUAAGUUGAUGAGAUAAAUAUAUUGUUAUGUGGUUAACUAAUUCAAUGAGUUUUAGCUUAAUUAAAAAAUUAUAUGCAGUGAGUACUCUUUUGGAAGAGCGUUUGGUCUUUAGGAUUUUGUAACUGAUCAAGUGAUCAAAGGGCUUAAAGGAUGGAAUGGGCUAGACUUAAUACUUUGAUAGAAAAGAAUUAGUUUCCUAAUCUUUUGGAUAAACAUAGGAGUUGGAUAAAAAAAAAAGAAGCUAUGAUGUCAGGCUAAAGAAAGAUAUCUGAGGAAUGCUAGAAGAGGACUAGGCAAGAAAGAGAACUAAGGAAGAUAAUAGGAUCAUAUAAUUAGAGAGUUUAUAUAUUCAUUAACUUCUAAAUAGUGCAAUAAACAUCCUUUUGUUUUUCUAUUGAUUAUUUAGGACAAGAAGAAAACAUAUUGUCAUUAUCAUCGUACUUGCCUUAUCUCAUAUGAAUUAGUUUGCCACAUGAAUUCCUUUUCCCCAUUCUUUCCUACUACAAUCCUUGUUCUAAUAUUAUAUUUAAUCUUGUAAACCAUUUCUAAUUAUUUCAUACCAUGUUAAUUUCGUUUCUUAUAUUCUAAGCAAACUAAUUUUCCUUCUCUCAUUGAUUGGUUUUAUAGUUCUGUGUUGUAUGUGCCGCUGUGUCCAUACUAUCUAAGCCUGUUUUUCUUAUUUUAUCACCAGCAGGCAUCACUUUAAAUCUCCCUCAUGAGUUGAUUAUCAACUCUAUCUCUUCUAGUCAUUCUUCUGGCCAACCAUAAAUGCAUGGCACUAGUACUCUUCUUGGCAAGGGAAUCAGAUGAAUGAAUGUUCGCGCUUGUUGUAUAUCUGGGAACAUAAACUAGUUGGACCAUAUAAUUUUGUGCUGAUAUCUGAUUUAUGUGUCGACAGACUCUCAUCGAUAGUUUCAGAUAUUCAAGAUUCUGUGAAGAAUGUGCUACAUACAGAUUUUACUUUUACAAUAUGUUGUAUGAGGUAACUGCUCUGUAGAUGAUGAGAAGAAUGCAUUAUGUUGCAUGAAGUAACUGCUCUUGAACUUGACCGGCGGUCUUUCCACGGACGGUUUGAGGUUUUACUUACAGAAAGAACAAAAUGAAUGCUUAGUGUUUGAUGAUAGUGAUACCAUUCAUUAGAUUUUCUGUAAUAACCCGUUUGGUUGGAUGGAUGGAAGAGAUAUACUUAUGGAAGGGAUGUUAUUAUUAUUUUUUCUUUUGCUUGGUUGAGUAGAGGGAAGAAAAAUUGUGACACUUACUAUUUUGUAGACAGGGUUGCAUCAUUUUUCAUUCUUUCUA